AACGAACGCUGGCGGCAUGCUUAACACAUGCAAGUCGAACGAGACCUCCGGGCUUAGUGGCGCACGUGUGCGUAACGCGUGGGAAACUGCCCUUAGGUUCGGCAUAACUCCCCGUAAGGGGUGCUAAUACCGGAUAAUGUUUUCGGACCAAAGAUUUAUCGCCUUUGGAUGGGGCCGCGUUGGAUUAGCUCGUUGGUAGGGUAAAAGCCUACCAAGGCGACGAUGCAUAGCUGGUCUGAGAGGAGGACCAUCCACACUGGGACUGAGACACGGACCAGACUGGUAGGGAAGGGAGCAGUAGGGAAUAUUGGAGAAGGGAGGAAAGCGUAAUCAAGCAAUGCGGGGGAAGUGAGGAAGGGGUUAGGGUUGUAAAGCUCUUUUACACGGGGUGAUAAUGACAGUACCGGGAGAAUAAGCACCGGCUAACUACGUG
Molecule: ribosomal RNA, 433 nt
Filed under: uncultured bacterium
Lineage: Bacteria
Description: partial 16S ribosomal RNA
Rfam family: Bacterial small subunit ribosomal RNA
Source: RNAcentral